RNAcentral lists this ribosomal RNA (681 nucleotides) under Bacillus subtilis. Its description in RNAcentral is "bacterial SSU rRNA". It matches the Rfam family "Bacterial small subunit ribosomal RNA", at positions 78 to 743 of the family's 1533-position model. Lineage: Bacteria; Bacillati; Bacillota; Bacilli; Caryophanales; Bacillaceae. The record is from RNAcentral.
GCUUGCUCCCUGAUGUUAGCGGCGGACGGGUGAGUAACACGUGGGUAACCUGCCUGUAAGACUGGGAUAACUCCGGGAAACCGGGGCUAAUACCGGAUGGUUGUUUGAACCGCAUGGUUCAGACAUAAAAGGUGGCUUCGGCUACCACUUACAGAUGGACCCGCGGCGCAUUAGCUAGUUGGUGAGGUAACGGCUCACCAAGGCGACGAUGCGUAGCCGACCUGAGAGGGUGAUCGGCCACACUGGGACUGAGACACGGCCCAGACUCCUACGGGAGGCAGCAGUAGGGAAUCUUCCGCAAUGGACGAAAGUCUGACGGAGCAACGCCGCGUGAGUGAUGAAGGUUUUCGGAUCGUAAAGCUCUGUUGUUAGGGAAGAACAAGUGCCGUUCAAAUAGGGCGGCACCUUGACGGUACCUAACCAGAAAGCCACGGCUAACUACGUGCCAGCAGCCGCGGUAAUACGUAGGUGGCAAGCGUUGUCCGGAAUUAUUGGGCGUAAAGGGCUCGCAGGCGGUUUCUUAAGUCUGAUGUGAAAGCCCCCGGCUCAACCGGGGAGGGUCAUUGGAAACUGGGGAACUUGAGUGCAGAAGAGGAGAGUGGAAUUCCACGUGUAGCGGUGAAAUGCGUAGAGAUGUGGAGGAACACCAGUGGCGAAGGCGACUCUCUGGUCUGUAACUGA